GCUACCAACAGGGUACUGACAGAUGUCUUUAUUCCUCUUAAAGAUAGGAGAUUAUCUGUGGACUUUUCAGCUGCAAUUGACUGGUCCUUGAUUUUUGCUGCAAACGACUAUCCUUUGACUUUCUAUCACCAGCUGAUGUUUGCUUGCACUCAGACUGUUCAUCUAGUUAAAUACUCCAUAUGAAUUGAGGCUCUUCAGUGCCCAUGUUAUUGUCUUACUUAAUUCCCCUGUAUUCACCUUGAUUUUAUUACGCUUCAAG
Molecule: long non-coding RNA, 259 nt
Organism: Rana temporaria (common frog)
Lineage: Eukaryota; Metazoa; Chordata; Amphibia; Anura; Ranidae
Exons: 3
Source: RefSeq, a predicted model, not a curated record